UAGGGAAUCUUCGGCAAUGGGGGGAACCCUGACCGAGCAACGCCGCGUGAGUGAAGAAGGUUUUCGGAUCGUAAAGCUCUGUUGUUAAGGAAGAACGAGUGUGAGAAUGGAAAGUUCAUGCUGUGACGGUACUUAACCAGAAAGGGACGGCUAACUACGUGCCAGCAGCCGCGGUAAUACGUAGGUCCCGAGCGUUGUCCGGAUUUAUUGGGCGUAAAGCGAGCGCAGGCGGUUAGAAAAGUCUGAAGUGAAAGGCAGUGGCUCAACCAUUGUAGGCUUUGGAAACUGUUUAACUUGAGUGCAGAAGGGGAGAGUGGAAUUCCAUGUGUAGCGGUGAAAUGCGUAGAUAUAUGGAGGAACACCGGUGGCGAAAGCGGCUUUUUGGCCUGCAACUGACACUGAGGCGCGAAAGCGUGGGGAGCAAACAGG
RNAcentral lists this ribosomal RNA (429 nucleotides) under Verrucomicrobiota bacterium. Its description in RNAcentral is "Verrucomicrobia bacterium partial 16S ribosomal RNA". It matches the Rfam family "Bacterial small subunit ribosomal RNA", at positions 355 to 776 of the family's 1533-position model. The record is from RNAcentral. Lineage: Bacteria; Pseudomonadati; Verrucomicrobiota.